Molecule: ribosomal RNA, 497 nt
Filed under: uncultured bacterium
Lineage: Bacteria
Description: partial 16S ribosomal RNA
Rfam family: Bacterial small subunit ribosomal RNA
Source: RNAcentral
GAUGAACGCUGGCGGCGUGCCUAAUACAUGCAAGUCGAGCGAACGGACGAUAAGCUUGCUUCUCUGAUGUUAGCGGCGGACGGGUGAGUAACACGUGGAUAACCUACCUAUAAGACUGGGAUAACUUCGUGAAACCGGAGCUAAUACCGGAUAAUAUUUUGAACCGCAUGGUUCAAAAGUUAAAGACGGUCUUCCUGUCACUUAUAGAUGGAUCCGCGCUGCAUUAGCUAGUUGGUAAGGUAACGGCUUACCAAGGCAACGAUGCAUAGCCGACCUGAGAGGGUGAUCGGCCACACUGGAACUGAGGCACGGUCCAGACUCCUACGGGAGGCAGCAGUAGGGAAUAUUGCGCAAUGGGCGAAAGCCUGACGGAGCAACGCCGCGUGAGUGAUGAAGGUCUUCGGAUCGUAAGACUCUGUUAUUAGGGAAGAACAUAUGUGUAAGUAACUGUGCACAUCUUGACGGUACCUAAUCAGAAAGCAACGGCUAACUACGUG